This 200-nucleotide ribosomal RNA is filed under the name uncultured bacterium. RNAcentral's name for it is "partial 16S ribosomal RNA". It matches the Rfam family "Bacterial small subunit ribosomal RNA", at positions 29 to 223 of the family's 1533-position model. The record is from RNAcentral.
AGUGAACGCUGGCGGUAAGCCUAACACAUGCAAGUCGAACGGCAGCACAGUAAGAGCUUGCUCUUAUGGGUGGCGAGUGGCGGACGGGUGAGGAAUACAUCGGAAUCUACCUUUUCGUGGGGGAUAACGUAGGGAAACUUACGCUAAUACCGCAUACGACCUUCGGGGAAGGACAGGGACCGUCGGCCGUGUCGCGGAGU